UAUAGCGCGAUGGCGGGAAAGGGAAGGGCCGCUCGUCAGACCGCAAAGCGCAAGUUACAAAGAGCCACGGAAACGGCCGAAGAACGAGAAGUUCGGCUUGCCAAGCGACGUGCACAGUACGCGGCUAAACAGCAGCGUUCCUCCACGGAGUUCGAGAUGGUUCCGGUUUUCCACAUCAUAGCAUUUACAAUCGAGAAUCGUUGCUUCUGAAGACGGCUUUGCAAGCUGAGUACUCACAGCGGUAGUGCAAGCAGCGGCCCUGACUAUGGAGGAUACGACGGGUAUAUAAAGAUCUACACGAAGCGAGAUUCGUAUAACUAUGUAAAGGCGCAAUACCAAUGUAAAAGGAGAGAAACUAAACACCAUCCAAGAGAAAGAGAGGUAACUAUUCUGGCUAUUGACCUGGUUCUCCCUGUUUACGAAAAUGAAGAUCAUCUGUACCAUCGUGCUAUUGGUGUUUAUGACAGGCAUCCUGGGAUGGGCAUCUGUGAAGGCGAGACGACGUGUACGUCGCUCAACAGGAGAAGCCCGUGGCUGUCCGUUAUUCGGAGUUAUCUGCCACAGACGCUGUAAAGGCGAGAAAUCCUUUGAUGGCUUUUGCGAUGGAGCACACCAUGGUACAUGUUAUUGCUCUGAGCAAUGAUAAAAAUCAAGCGGCGAUUGCAGAAAGCUUUUACCAGUAUGAAGAAACUCCCCAAGGCUUUCCUUAGAAUCAUUUGUGCGCUUGUGGUACUUUAACCAAAUAAAGCUCUAUGUCUAGUUCCGCUAAUAAAAUCUCGGAGGAGCAACUUCA
This is a long non-coding RNA of Dermacentor andersoni, 793 nucleotides long. RefSeq lists it as uncharacterized. The record is from RefSeq and is a predicted model, not a curated record. NCBI's taxonomy places the organism in Eukaryota, Metazoa, Arthropoda, Arachnida, Ixodida, Ixodidae.